UUGGGUUUGGCGCUAACUUCUCUCUCUCUCAGAUUAAGUCAUUACUGCAUUCUCUUGUGUUUACUUAUCAAAUUCCAGCUGUUGUCUCUUCCCCUCUGCUUGUGACCCCAUCCAUGCACUGAUGCACCUCCUCUCUCUUUACUAGUAAUAUGGGUAAAGGCCAUUUCGGUACAUUAAAUAUCGUAUUAAAUCGUUAGCAUAGUAUAAAAAUAUUUUCUCUAGAGUAGUUAUUAAUUAUCGUAUACCCUCUUAUCUUUUAUUUCUAUAAGAAGUUAUUGUUAUUAGCAGCAACUUUACCCCUUUUUAUUACUCCUUUUGUUUCAAAUUAGACGAGG
Molecule: long non-coding RNA, 335 nt
Filed under: Nicotiana benthamiana
Lineage: Eukaryota; Viridiplantae; Streptophyta; Magnoliopsida; Solanales; Solanaceae
Description: long non-coding RNA (NBEN_LNC019855)
Source: RNAcentral